CUAAGAAUCUGCCUGCCUGAGUGAUGCAGCCAGGCUCCCUUGUUCCCUGGGGCAAGGAACCAGUAGAGGGAUAGGGAAUCACAGUGUUUCCCGGCUGCAAGGGCCCUUGGAGAUGGUUUUACAGAUGAGGAAGCAGAGUCCAGAGAAAGGAAGUGAUCUGCUGGGAACCACUGUACUUUUCACACAAGCAACUUUCCGGGCAUCUGCUAUGUGCUGUCCACAGGAUGGCGAGGGGGCACACUCAUUCUCUCCAGGCCAGGACAGCAGCAUCUGAAUCAACCCUGCAGGUAGGCAUUCCAUUCAAACCCAGCAUUUUCCUCUUCUAGGAACUUAUUCUGAAGACAUAAUGAGGGAUGCGUAUGAGGAUAUGUAUCACAGCAUUACUUCUAUUUGUGAAAAAUCACAGAUCAUAUAAAUAUCCCACAGGAAAGGAUAGAUUACAUCAUUAAAUACAUGCUGAUAGUAAAAUCAAAUUGUAGAUUAAUAUUUAUGGCCAACAUUUUUGACAUAUUAUUACAUUUUAACUGGCAGGCUACAAACAGUAUGACAAUUUUUUGUAAUGAAAAGAAUGGCUAUGUGUACAUAUUUCAUAGGAAAACACUAAGUGUGCAUGCCAGGAGGUGAAGAGGAUUCUUUUCGGGUUGAGGAAUUGUGUGAGUGGGUUUUCCCUUUUUUCUUUUUUCAGAUAUUGCAAGGUUGGUUUGUUUUUACAUCGAGUAUAUAUUAGGUUUGUAAUUUGAAAAAAGAAUUCUUUAUGUAAGGGUUACUCAUGAAUAAUAUUAGCAAAUGCUUGCCUGGUGCUUAUUUUAUGCCAACCUCUGUUCUGAGUGCUUUUCAUGGAUUAAGUGAUUUAACCCUCACGAGAAUUUAGACACGGGAACCAUAGCUCAGGAGGGCUGGGCAGGUUGCCCAGGUCAGCAGAGUUGGUAUGUGGCAGAGCUAGAAUCUGAAGCCAAGCCAUCUGCCAACAGGGUCCAUGCAAUUAACCACUGCACCACAUUAUUACUCCCCAGUGGAAAAAGACAAUCCCCAUGGCCAACAAGGACAUGCGUGGAAAUGCAUGUGUUCCUCUCCUGCUAUUGGUAGCAGAGGUUCCCUUGAUACACCUUGAUCCCAAGUGCUCCAUGAUGGUAGUGCUCAGGUACUAUAUUCAGUGAAUGAAUGCAAGUGACAGGUUCCACUUGUCCCCCAGGAUCUGAAAAGACAGUCCAGCUUUUGCUAGAUUUUGAGCAUGACCAUGAUGGGACUCAAGGAACCUUCCCUCCCUAACUUGGCAGUGGGUGACUUGACUUCCUCACAUGCUCUGGAGGAUGGUUUUCCACUGAGAAACCUGUCCUGUCUUCUACUUUUCUGGGAGGGUAGAGGAUGGCUCAGGGUAUCAUGGCUCUAUCCCCAUCGAAGGGGGCAGAGGGGAUUCACCAGCUGUGGUAGGUCAUUGCUUUGUGGCAUUCAAUGAACUAUGUCUCUUAGAAGUCACACUUUUGUGUGGUCGCUCCUGCAUUGACUCUGGAGUUUGCCAUGUGGCUUUCUUUGGCCAAAAGGAUAUUAACAAGCAUGAUCCAAGCCGUGGCUUUAUGAGUGCUUGCGCACUAGGCUUGUCUUCUUAGAACAGUUCCUCUUGGAACCCAGCCACCCUGCUGCUAAAAGGAAGUCCAGACUAGGCCAGUGGAUAAUGCAGGGACAUGGGAGAGAAGCUCUGGAGGAUAAGAGGCCAUCUUGGACAUUCCAGCUUCAAACAAGCUUCCAGAUGAAAGCAGCUGCUAAAUGAGCCCUGCCAAACCACCCAGCUGAAUCCAGUCAACACAGAUUCAUGAGAAAUCAUAAAUCGUUGUUAUAAGCCACUAAAUUGGUAGUUUGUUCUGCAGCCACAGGUAACUGAAAUACUAGUCUUCUUUUCCUGGACACGCCUGAAAACAGAUCCAUAUAUACUUAUUAAGUACCCACUGUGUGCCCAGCCCUGUUCUAGGCACUAUGGGAUAAUCAUGAAAGGAUUCUAAGAAAUGAGAAUCUGAGGAGACAAGACUGCUACAGGAAGUAAAUCUGAAGAAGAAUUAUGGCUAAACUGCUGCAUAGUAAGGAAAGGCGACUGAUUUCCCCAACCCAGCCCCCAACAUUUCACCUCACAGCAAAGCUGUUGUGGCUGAUAAAUUUGGCAAACAGGGGUGGCAUUGUUGGAUACAUUGAUCUUUUACUUUAUUAUGAUGAUGGUUUUGGGCACCUCGGGCCCCCAGCUUUGUUAAAUGCUGUUCCUAUGGCAGGACAGUAUUCUCCAUGCACUUAAAGGGGAACCAUUUGUGUGACCUUCAGAUCAAAGAAGGUAGAUGAGAUGGAGAAUUGAGUGGCCUACUCAGCCGAUGGACUGUGACACACCAUCAUUACUCUUUAAUGGGUGGGAGGGGGUCUUGCUAGUGCAUCUGCUUGGCUCUGGCUAGGACUGGCCUGCUCACAACUUCAUGAAUAUUCAGUUGCUCCAUGAAGGUCCACUGCCUAGAACAUUGGAGCAACCCGGAGGGUCAUCUGGUCUGAUGUUCUCACUGUUGAAAGGAGGAAACUGAGGCCCAGAGGUGAGAAGGGCUCGCUGGAGGGCACACAAGAUUUAUAGCUCCUCCAUCACUGGCGCUGGUGUUAGCCACAGCUCAGCUGUGGUUUGCAGAUCCUCUGAGACCCCAAAUCCCAUGCUCUUUCUCUUACUGCCCUCCACCCUCCUGCUCGGGGCUUGCUUUGGUGGCCAAGCAACCAGGGAACUGAGAAAGUCCACCCAGUUGCAACAAGGCUAUAUACAUUAACCUCUGCUUCAGACAGUAUACAUGAAACUGCAAAAGUGUGCAGAGACACAGUUCCACUUAAAGCAUUUAAAGGUGUCCUGAGGGGAGUGCUUGGGAAAGCAGGCAGACAGCCCAUCAUUUCACUUUCUCUCUUAGUUUGAUUUUCAGUGUGGGUUUUGCUUCUAAGGGGCCAUACCUCAUACUGCACACUUGAAGGAAUGCCAGUUGUGCUUGAAACCCUACACAUUCCUGAGCAGCCCCUUUUCCCAUCUGGGCCAGUGCAGGUGGAUGGCAGGACCCCUGGCCUCAGGAGCCUUGCUGCUGACACUGGCCCUGAGAAGCCUGUUCAUAGGGCCUUGUGGAACUGGCCACUUCUUUUCUUUGUUUCUUGAUUUUUUUUCACUGAGACCAGAUGAGGAGAGCCAAGACUAUGGGUAAAUUCCACGAAUCAAAGAUACAUCUGGAAUCUGCUGGGGAGCCUGGGAGGCUGUUCAAGCCAAGGCAUCAUCAUUUCUCAAAUUGGGAAAACACAGGCAUGGAGGGGCAAAGGGGUUUUCCCAAGGCCUGGGGCUGGUGGGCUCGAUGCCAGGAGAAGACUCAGGGACGAUGCUUUCGGCUGGAGGACAGGAUGAGUCAGGCCCCCAAGGUGUUUUCCCCACAUGGUUUCAGUUCUUAGGUCAGGGUCUUGGCACCUGAAGGAAAACCUGGUCUAGGCCAUGUGGAAAUCCCGAGCUGCUGCAGCAUCUCACUCCGAUCGGGCAUGUCUGGGAGGCAGCAGGUUGCAAAUAAGUGAUUUACAGCAUGUUCCCUGAUGUUUUACAUUUUCAUCAUUUCAUGUUGCAGUCCUAUCUCCAGUAAUGGUAUCUGCAAAGGAGUGCAGCUCCCAGCCUGCUAUCUGCAGGAGCCCGAGUGGGGAAGCCUGUGUAGUCUCAGGUCUCAGCCUUGACUUUCACGGUGUGACUGUGGUGUCUCAGGACUCUGCGACCCAGGAUCAUCAUUGUGACCAUCUUCCUAGUCUUCACUGCUUCCUUUACACCUCAAUUCUGAGGACCUGCUCUGAGCCGCACACGGUUCUGGGCUCUAGGAAUGGCGGAGGACUUGGGUGCCACGAGAGCACCAGGUAGUAGCUCCAGCUCAGCCUCCCCUAACCCUGACUCAAACAAAACCAUCAGAUGCAUCCCCUACCACUAUCUAUCUGUCUGAGGAUUCUCAGAACCUUUCCACUGGUGGGAAUGUAAAGUGAUGCAGCCCUGCGGAAAGAAGUUUGGCCAUUCCUCAAAAGUAUAUUAUAUAGAAUUACUAUAUGACCCGGCAACUCCCCUCCUAGGCAUAUGCCCAAAAGAAUUGAAAGCAAGGACUCAAACAAAUACUUGGGCGUACAUGCUUAUAGGAGCAUUAUUCACACUAGCCAAAGGUGGGCACAGUUGUCCAUCAGCAGAUGAAUGGCUACACAAGGUGUAGUAUAUACAUACAAAGAAAUACUACUAUUCAGCCAUAAAAAGGAAUGGAAUUCUGAUACAUGCAACAACAUGGAUGAACUUCAGAAACAUGCUAAGUUUCUAAGCCAAGCUAACAUGCUAAGAAGCCAGACACUGAAGGUCACAUAUUGUAUGAUUCUGCUUAUAUGAAACAUCUGGAAAGAGACAGAAAGCACAUCAGUGACUGCCAGGGCCUGGGAUGAGGAGAACUUGGGAGUGAUUGCUUCGUGGGCAUGAGUUUUCCCUUUGGGGUGAAGAAAAUGUUCUGCAACUAAAUAGAGGCAGCAGAUGCAUGACACUGUGAAUGUACUAAGUGCUACUGAAUUGUGUUUAAAAUGGUUAAUUUUAUAUUAUGUGAAUUUCACCUCUAAGAAUUUUUUUUUCUUUUUUUCUUUUUUUUUUUUUGAGACCAAGUCUCACUCUGUCACCCAGACUGGAGUGCAGUGGUGCAAUCUUGGCUCACUGCAACCUCUGCCUCCUGGGUUCAAGUGAUUCUCCUGCCUCAGCCUCCCAAGUAGCUGGGACUACAGGUGCCCGAUACCACACCACACCUGGCUAAUUUUCGUAUUUUUAGUAGAUAUGGGGUUUUGCCAUGUUGGCCAGGCUGGUCUUGAACUCCUGACCUCAUGUGAUCUGCCCACCUCAGCCUCCCAAAGUGCUGGGAUUACAGGUAUGAGCCAACAUGCCUGGCCUAAGAAAAAAUUUUAAUUAAAACUUGCCGCUGCCUACAAAUCUCACAGCACCCUGAUGUCACAUAUAUCAGCCGCAACUCCACCUGCUAACCCAGAGCUCCAGAUUCCUGACAUGAGGUAGUAGGUGAGACUGUUGAGGCAGGAAUUUGAAGAUUGGCCUGCAGUGGGGCCGCGUGCGGGUCAGGGGGUUGGCACGGGGGCCUCUCUUAGCUAGCGAGUGCACUAGAGGCCUCCCAACACAGGCAUCACACCUCGGAUCAAUUUUGUCCUGUCUCCCUAUCCCCAUGCUCACUGUAACACUCAUAAUGUGCUUUGCUGCACCUGGUGGGAGGAGUUAACGAUAUGUAAUAGUGGUAGCUGAGAAUUGUGGGGGCUAACAUGGCUUCAAAACACUCCCUUUGUCACUGAUUGGGAAGUAAUGAGAGGUCUAGAUCUUUAGCUUGGGCUUCCAAACUCAAUGGAUGGGCUCAGUUAACUCCCAGCAUCACUCCCACCCCUCCGGGAGGACACUCCACUACUCUGGCACUCUCUUGAAGACUCAGAUUAUUACUUCCUCCACACCAGAGCACCACUCUUCUGUGAAGACUCUUUGGCCCAGCCUCCAGUUUUCCCUUGCUUGCCUGAACUCCUGAGGUCACUGUCUGGGCCUCUUCCCUGGUGUUUAUUCUAACUGUGUGUGCAUGUAGGUCAGUCAUAUGAAAGUUUGUCAUUUUGGUAGUUAAUAUCAGCCCUACUUUGUAUUUGCUUUAAGAGGAAGUGAAAUACAUUCGUGCAUUUAUUUUGUCUUUUGUACUUGGCUGGGAUUCUGUA
This 5745-nucleotide long non-coding RNA is filed under the name Homo sapiens (human). RNAcentral describes it as "HSALNT0334422". Lineage: Eukaryota; Metazoa; Chordata; Mammalia; Primates; Hominidae. The record is from RNAcentral.